GAUUCUUUCUUGGCAAUUUCUUGGCCAUUAUUAAUUAUAGAACUGCCAAGUGUAAUCCCAUUAGGAGUCCUUGUAGGGUUUGAGGAUGAAUUAUACCUUGAGAAAGCUGAAAGAUCUGAUCUUCUCAAAACACUAAAAUCAUCUUGAGCACCUUUUUCGGGUACUUUUACCGUUUGAAAACUUGGCUCUUUAGAUUCACCAAUGGAUAAAUUAUUGAUUUCUAAUAACUGCACAGCUUUGUUCAACCUUCUACUGUUGGUCCGAGGAUGAGCUGUCUCAGCAGUCACAUCAUGAUAUUCUGUCGAUGGAACAUUACCAUCUAGACUUUCCUGGUGUUCAUCCAUCUUCAAACUGCUUGGGUUGGAAUUUAUUGCCAGCAGGGUCUUAUGUUCUGCAUCAACAAGUUCGACUGGAACCUGAAUUGCAUUUUCAGGUUGUAACUUCUGAUUUCUAGGUAUGCCCUUGAGGGAGGGUUUUUUU
Molecule: unclassified non-coding RNA, 480 nt
Filed under: Hevea brasiliensis (rubber tree)
Lineage: Eukaryota; Viridiplantae; Streptophyta; Magnoliopsida; Malpighiales; Euphorbiaceae
Source: RNAcentral